RNAcentral lists this ribosomal RNA (497 nucleotides) under uncultured bacterium. RNAcentral describes it as "partial 16S ribosomal RNA". It matches the Rfam family "Bacterial small subunit ribosomal RNA", at positions 28 to 507 of the family's 1533-position model. The record is from RNAcentral.
GAUGAACGCUGGUGGCGUGCCUAAUACAUGCAAGUCGAGCGAACAGACGAGGAGCUUGCUCCUCUGACGUUAGCGGCGGACGGGUGAGUAACACGUGGAUAACCUACCUAUAAGACUGGGAUAACUUCGGGAAACCGGAGCUAAUACCGGAUAAUAUAUUGAACCGCAUGGUUCAAUAGUGAAAGACGGUUUUGCUGUCACUUAUAGAUGGAUCCGCGCCGCAUUAGCUAGUUGGUAAGGUAACGGCUUACCAAGGCAACGAUGCGUAGCCGACCUGAGAGGGUGAUCGGCCACACUGGAACUGAGACACGGUCCAGACUCCUACGGGAGGCAGCAGUAGGGAAUCUUCCGCAAUGGGCGAAAGCCUGACGGAGCAACGCCGCGUGAGUGAUGAAGGUCUUCGGAUCGUAAAACUCUGUUAUUUGGGAAGAACAAAUGUGUAAGUAACUAUGCACGUCUUGACGGUACCUAAUCAGAAAGCCACGGCUAACUACGUG